This 65-nucleotide transfer RNA is filed under the name Brachyrhynchus hsiaoi. Its description in RNAcentral is "tRNA-Pro". Lineage: Eukaryota; Metazoa; Arthropoda; Insecta; Hemiptera; Aradidae. The record is from RNAcentral.
CAGUAAGUAGUUUAUUUAAAACAUUAAUUUUGGAGGUUAAAGAUGCGAUUAGCUCGUUUUACUGA